CGGCAAGAAGGGUGGUCGGUUAUAUGUUGGCGACGGUGCCAUCCGUAAGAAGGACAUCCCAAAACUCUCUCACCUCCGUGCUACCACGUCGAGCUCAGGUCCUGCUAUAGAGCUUCGCCCACAGCCUGGGCUGCACAUGCUCCAUCAACUCGAGGCCAAUGCCAGGCUUCGAGAGGAGGAAGCCAUGAAAAUGCAGCAGGCCCUGUUUCAACAGCAAGAAUUCAUGGUUAAACAACAGGCAAUCCUGCAGGAGACAUUUGCUCAACUCAGAAAUAAUAUGCAGGGUUCCACUUUGCCCGUUCUUCCUCCUCUUCCGACUCUUCCUAAUUUCAACUUUUUUUCUCAGUCGGGACAAGGCUCCAAUAACUGUGUGGUAGGUGGAUCUUCACCUGGCCAAACAAGUCCAGUGACACCCAUUACGGUUCAUGU
Triticum aestivum (bread wheat) is the source of this 429-nucleotide long non-coding RNA. RefSeq lists it as uncharacterized. The transcript is spliced from 3 exons. The record is from RefSeq and is a predicted model, not a curated record. Lineage: Eukaryota; Viridiplantae; Streptophyta; Magnoliopsida; Poales; Poaceae.